This 689-nucleotide ribosomal RNA is filed under the name uncultured Streptococcaceae bacterium. RNAcentral describes it as "bacterial SSU rRNA". It matches the Rfam family "Bacterial small subunit ribosomal RNA", at positions 63 to 735 of the family's 1533-position model. The record is from RNAcentral. Lineage: Bacteria; Bacillati; Bacillota; Bacilli; Lactobacillales; Streptococcaceae.
AGAACGCUGAAGCUUGGUGCUUGCACCGAGCGGAUGAGUUGCGAACGGGUGAGUAACGCGUAGGUAACCUGCCUGGUAGCGGGGGAUAACUAUUGGAAACGAUAGCUAAUACCGCAUAAGAGUAGAUGUUGCAUGACAUUUGCUUAAAAGGUGCAAUUGCAUCACUACCAGAUGGACCUGCGUUGUAUUAGCUAGUUGGUGGGGUAAAGGCUCACCAAGGCAACGAUACAUAGCCGACCUGAGAGGGUGAUCGGCCACACUGGGACUGAGACACGGCCCAGACUCCUACGGGAGGCAGCAGUAGGGAAUCUUCGGCAAUGGACGGAAGUCUGACCGAGCAACGCCGCGUGAGUGAAGAAGGUUUUCGGAUCGUAAAGCUCUGUUGUAAGAGAAGAACGAGUGUGAGAGUGGAAAGUUCACACUGUGACGGUAUCUUACCAGAAAGGGACGGCUAACUACGUGCCAGCAGCCGCGGUAAUACGUAGGUCCCGAGCGUUGUCCGGAUUUAUUGGGCGUAAAGCGAGCGCAGGCGGUUAGAUAAGUCUGAAGUUAAAGGCUGUGGCUUAACCAUAGUACGCUUUGGAAACUGUUUAACUUGAGUGCAAGAGGGGAGAGUGGAAUUCCAUGUGUAGCGGUGAAAUGCGUAGAUAUAUGGAGGAACACCGGUGGCGAAAGCGGCUCUCUGGCUU